This is an RNA transcript of Octodon degus (degu), 710 nucleotides long. It is a transcript of the gene named cell division control protein 42 homolog pseudogene, with no coding region annotated. The record is from RefSeq and is a predicted model, not a curated record. Lineage: Eukaryota; Metazoa; Chordata; Mammalia; Rodentia; Octodontidae. The transcript has a single exon.
ACGCACUGCUGCCAACGCCCAGGUGGAGGAGCUGAGGUCAACGUCAAAUUUGAAAUAUUUAAACUAUUUCCACAAUGCAGACAAUGAAGUGCGUUGUUGUGGGCAACGGUGCUGUUGGUAAAACAUGUCUCCUGAUAUCCUACACAACAAACAAAUUUCCAUCUGAAUAUGUACCAACUGUUUUUGACAACUAUGCAGUCGCAGUUAUGAUUGGUGGAGAGCCAUACACUCUUGGGCUUUUUGAUACUGCAGGGAAAGAGGAUUAUGACAGAUUACGACCACUGAGUUAUCCACAAACAGAUGUAUUUCUAGUCUGUUUUUCAGUGGUCUCUCCAUCCUCAUUUGAAAAUGUGAAAGAAAAGUGGGUGCCUGAGAUAGCUCACCAUUGUCUAAAGACUCCUUUCUUGCUUGUUGGGACCCAAAUUGAUCUCAGAGAUGAUCCCUCUACUAUUGAGAAACUUACCAAGAACAAACAGAAACCUAUCACUCCAGAGACUGCUGAAAAGCUGGCCUGUGAUCUGAAGGCUGUCAAGUAUAUGGAGUGUUCUGCACUCACACAGAAAGGCCUAAAGAAUGUGUAUGCUGAAGCAACACUGGCUGCCCUGGAGCCUCCAGAACCGAAGAAGAGCCGCAGCUGUGGGCUGCUAGGAACAUCUCUCCAGACCCCUCUGCACAGCUGGUGUCGGCAUCAUACUAAAAGCAAUGUUUAA